This 2099-nucleotide unclassified non-coding RNA is filed under the name Gigantopelta aegis. RNAcentral describes it as "zinc finger protein 883-like, transcript variant X1". The record is from RNAcentral. Lineage: Eukaryota; Metazoa; Mollusca; Gastropoda; Neomphalida; Peltospiridae.
UGUGUUGAACGUGAGGUCUUGUCAACACAUUGUGAUUGAGGUCAAAGCGUAAAGGAUCCUCUGUUUUACAAUAUGUCUAACAGUGAUAAUAGAUGUGUUGAACGCGAGGUCUCGUCAACACAUUGUGAUUGAGGUCAAAGCAUAAACGAUAUCCUCUGUUUUACAACAAAUAUGUCUAACAGUGACCAUAGAUGUGUUGAACGUGAGGUCUUGUCAACACAUUGUGAAACCAACCGUGAUAUGAAAGAACAAACGUCAACACAUUCUUGUGAGAAACCUUUCAAAUGUGGGAUGUGUUUAAAGUGUUUCUCCUGCAGGAGCAAGGUCAUGCGGCAUAUGUUAACCCACACCCUAGAAAGACCAUAUCGGUGUAAGGUGUGCAAAAUGUCUUUCCAUCUGAGUACGUAUUUAAAGCAACAUACGAGGAUUCACUUGGGAGUCAAGAAUUUCAAAUGCGAGGUGUGUGAAAAAUAUUUUUGUCAGAGUUCCACGUUGAAAAAUCAUUCUGAAGACAGCCCUGACCUGAAAGUGCGAACGUCAACAUAUUCUUGCGAGAAGCCUUUCCAAUGUGGGAUGUGUUUAAAGUAUUUCUCUUACAGGAGUACGAUUAAGCGCCAUAUGUUGUCCCACACUGGUGAAAGACCAUAUCAGUGUGAGGUGUGCAGAAAGUCUUUUCAUCUGAGUAAAUACUUGAAGCUACAUUUGUUGAUUCACACUGGAGUCAAGAAUUUCAAAUGUGAAUUGUGCAAAACUUAUUUUUAUCAGAGUUCUACGUUGAAAAAUCAUUGUGAAAACAACCCUGAUCUGGAAGGACAAACGUCAACAGAUUCUUGUGAGAAACCUUUCCAGUGUGGGGUGUGUUUAAAGUAUUUCUCUUACAGAAGUAAGAUUGAGCGGCAUAUGUUAACCCACACUUUUGAAAGGCCAUAUCAGUGUAAGGUGUGCAGGAAGUCUUUUCAUCUGAGUAAAUACUUGAAAGAGCAUAUUGUAAUUCACUCUGGAGUGAAGAAUUUCAAAUGUGAGGUGUGUGCAAAACAUUUUUUUCAGAGUUCCACGUUGAAAAAUCAUAUGAUGAUUCACUCUGCCAAACGCUUUAAAUGUGAAGCAUGUGCGAAAAUGUUCUGUAGAAAAGCUGACUUGAAGACACAUACGUUGGUUCACACUGGCGUUAAGAAUUUCAAAUGUGGCGUAUGUGCAAAACUGUUUGCUAAGAUCUCCGGUUUCAAGCAGCAUAUGUUAAUUCACAAUGCCGUUAAACAUCUCAAAUGUGAGGUGUGUACGGAGCGUUUCUCUCGGAAGCAAGAGCUGAAAAAACACACGCUGAUGCACGCUGGUGUCAAAAUGUUCAAAUGUGAGACAUGUGCAAAAUUGUUCUCACGGGAAUCGUUCUUGAAGGACCAUAUGUUGGUUCACACUGGUGAGAAACGUCUGAAACCUUUCAAAUGCGAGCAAUGUGCAAAGUGUUUUCAACGCAAUUGCCAAUUGAAAGAACAUAAGUUGACUCACUCCAGUGUUAAAUCUUACAAGUGUGAAACAUGUGCUAAAUGCUUCUGGAUACACGUUGUGACAGUACAGAUUGUCCUGUAUACAAAGACCAGAAUGAACGCCUUGUUGAUUUCGUUUUUAGUGAUAGCUGCUGUUCUGAUAGAGUCUACAUAUGCAAAAGGACCUGACCCGGUCUGCACAGUUUGUACCAACUCUGCAGUAACCUCGUAUUGUAGAUGUGGUUACAAGCUUGACGACGAUGGAUGUCCUACUGGUGACUGUAAGACGUGUUCAGGUGAAAUUUCCAUUCAGCCGUCUGCACAGUUUGUACCAACUCUCCAGUAACCUCGUAUUGUAGAUGUGGUUACAAGCUUGACGACGAUGGAUGUCCUACUGGUGACUGUAAGACGUGUUCAGUUCACAAUGAAAUCUGCAGAAAACGAAAUUGUCACUUCACCUAUGAACACGGCUUCUGUCAUAUCCCUAACACAGGAUGUACGGUUUGUGACUGUCGAGAAUAGCGUAAUGACAACCUACCAAGCUGAUUUGAUCAAGGAGACACUGGAGUUAGAUAACCAGUGUAUUGUUUGAUCGUUUAAUAAAAAUGAAACGUC